GGGGACAACCAGCCGAAAGGUUGGCUAAUACCGCAUGAGUUCUACGGAAGAAAGAGGGGGACCCGCAAGGGCCUCUCGCGAGCGGAGCGGCCGAUGACUGAUUAGCCGGUUGGUGAGGUAACGGCUCACCAAAGCAACGAUCAGUAGCUGGUCUGAGAGGACGACCAGCCACACUGGGACUGAGACACGGCCCAGACUCCUACGGGAGGCAGCAGUGGGGAAUUUUGGACAAUGGGCGCAAGCCUGAUCCAGCUAUUCCGCGUGUGGGAUGAAGGCCCUCGGGUUGUAAACCACUUUUGUAGAGAACGAAAAGACACCUUCGAAUAAAGGGUGUUGCUGACGGUACUCUAAGAAUAAGCACCGGCUAACUACGUGCCAGCAGCCGCGGUAAUACGUAGGGUGCGAGCGUUAAUCGGAAUUACUGGGCGUAAAGGGUGCGCAGGCGGUUGAGUAAGACAGAUGUGAAAUCCCCGAGCUUAACUCGGGAAUGGCAUAUGUGACUGCUCGACUAGAGUGUGUCAGAGGGAGGUGGAAUUCCACGUGUAGCAGUGAAAUGCGUAGAUAUGUGGAAGAACACCGAUGGCGAAGGCAGCCUCCUGGGACAUAACUGACGCUCAGGCACGAAAGCGUGGGGAGCAAACAGGAUUAGAUACCCU
Molecule: ribosomal RNA, 656 nt
Filed under: uncultured bacterium
Lineage: Bacteria
Description: bacterial SSU rRNA
Rfam family: Bacterial small subunit ribosomal RNA
Source: RNAcentral